RNAcentral lists this long non-coding RNA (888 nucleotides) under Oryctolagus cuniculus (rabbit). Its description in RNAcentral is "lncRNA (ENSOCUG00000032535.1)". Lineage: Eukaryota; Metazoa; Chordata; Mammalia; Lagomorpha; Leporidae. The record is from RNAcentral.
GAGUAGUGCGAGCCGCCGCCGUGGGGAGCCCGCCCGCCGAAGUCUGGCGGCACUGUGGGGGCGGCCUCAGUGCCUCAGUUUCCCCCUGGGGCGGCUGUACGGGAGGCGUGUCGCAGCGAGGUGACCUCCCCCAGGUCCCUGUGCAGAACCUUGAGGUAAGUUCCCAAAAAGUGUAGAGAAUGGCCAUGGGGAAGAAGGAACUGUCACAAAGCUGGAAAGGAGUCUUGGUGCUGGGCUGCCGCCUCUCCCAAGCCCAUCUUGGAUUCUGGAACUUCCUGCUGCCUUGCACACUGACUGGGCUACCUCAGCCCAGCUCUGACUGUCCCCAACUGCCGGCCGGCCCCAGCUUUCCAGAUCUCAGGCUAGAAUGUGGCAACUCCUGGCCCUGCUCCCUGUGUGACCGCUCAGAUGACGAGAAUGGAACCCAGAGAAGCUAGAACCAUGCCUGGAUGAUACAAUCAGCCAGGAUUACCGAGACUGUCGCUGAAGUUGUACAAUGAUACUCCAAAAAGUCCAUGGAAAAAUGAAAUUAAAACGUUAAGUAUUUUUCUGGUCUGAAAAUUUCUGAGGGGUGGGCGUUGUGGUACCAUAGGUUCAGUGGCCACUUGAGACACCUACAUUCUAAGUUGAGAUACCUGGGAUCAAGUCCCGCCUCCAGCCCAGCUUCCUGCAAGUGUGUCUGGGAGGUAGCACAUGGCUUGGGUCCCUGCCAUCUUUGGGAGACCCAGAUGGAGUUCCUGGCUUGUGGCUUCAUGCUGGCCCAGCUCUGGCUGUAGCAGGCAUUUGGGGAGUAAACUUCCCAGAUGGAAGAUCUCUCUCUCUUCCCCCUCUUUCUCUGCCUUUCCAAUAAGUUAAUAAAUAAUUUUUAAAAAUUUUGAAACCUAUACA